RNAcentral lists this ribosomal RNA (301 nucleotides) under uncultured bacterium. Its description in RNAcentral is "partial 16S ribosomal RNA". It matches the Rfam family "Bacterial small subunit ribosomal RNA", at positions 509 to 807 of the family's 1533-position model. The record is from RNAcentral.
CAGUAGCCACGGUAAUACGAAGGGUGCUAGCGUUACUCGGAAUUACUGGGCGUAAAGCGUGCGUAGGUGGUGGUUUAAGUCCGUUGUGAAAGCCCUGGGCUCAACCUGGGAAUUGCAGUGGAUACUGGGUCACUAGAGUGUGGUAGAGGAUAGUGGAAUUUCCGGUGUAGCAGUGAAAUGCGUAGAGAUCGGAAGGAACAUCUGUGGCGAAGGCGACUAUCUGGGCCAACACUGACACUGAGGCACGAAAGCGUGGGGAGCAAACAGGAUUAGAUACCCCCGUAGUCCCUGUCUCUUAUAC